RNAcentral lists this microRNA precursor (168 nucleotides) under Picea abies (Norway spruce). RNAcentral's name for it is "miR11456 stem-loop (pab-MIR11456)". The record is from miRBase by way of RNAcentral. Lineage: Eukaryota; Viridiplantae; Streptophyta; Pinopsida; Pinales; Pinaceae.
GCAUAUGCUUAAAUAUUUUUUCCAAGGCUUUAAUUGAAGGACACGGGGUGGGAUUUGAUCCACUUAUGUGUGUAUGGCUCUCAAGAUCAUUUAAUAUAGUCUCUUUGGAUCAAAUCCCACUCCAUGUCCUUCGAUUAAAGCCUUGGAAAAAAAUAUUUAAACAUAUGU